AACGUAGGAGACGAGCGUUAUCCGGAUUUACUGGGCGUAAAGCGUGUGCAGGCGGUUCGGCAAGUUGGAUGUGAAAUCUCCCGGCUCAACUGGGAGGGGUCGUUCAAUACUACCGAACUUGAGGGCAUCAGAGGAAGGUGGAAUUCCGGGUGUAGUGGUGAAAUGCGUAGAUAUCCGGAGGAACACCAGUGGCGAAGGCGGCCUUCUGGGAUGAUCCUGACGCUCAGACACGAAAGCUAGGGGAGCGAAC
RNAcentral lists this ribosomal RNA (250 nucleotides) under uncultured bacterium. RNAcentral describes it as "partial 16S ribosomal RNA". It matches the Rfam family "Bacterial small subunit ribosomal RNA", at positions 524 to 773 of the family's 1533-position model. The record is from RNAcentral.